UACGGGGGGAGCAAGCGUUGUUCGGAUUUACUGGGCGUAAAGGGCGCGUAGGCGGCGCAACAAGUCACUUGUGAAAUCUCCGGGCUUAACCCGGAGCGGCCAAGUGAUACUGUCGUGCUAGAGUGCGGAAGGGGCUACUGGAAUUCUCGGUGUAGCGGUGAAAUGCGUAGAUAUCGAGAGGAACACCGGUGGCGAAGGCGGGUCUCUGGGCCGUAACUGACGCUGAGGAGCGAAAGCAUGGGGAGCGAACAGG
Molecule: ribosomal RNA, 253 nt
Filed under: uncultured bacterium
Lineage: Bacteria
Description: partial 16S ribosomal RNA
Rfam family: Bacterial small subunit ribosomal RNA
Source: RNAcentral